This 483-nucleotide ribosomal RNA is filed under the name uncultured bacterium. RNAcentral describes it as "partial 16S ribosomal RNA". It matches the Rfam family "Bacterial small subunit ribosomal RNA", at positions 30 to 507 of the family's 1533-position model. The record is from RNAcentral.
AUUGAACGCUGGCGGCAGGCCUAACACAUGCAAGUCGAGCGGAUGAAGGGAGCUUGCUCCUGGAUUCAGCGGCGGACGGGUGAGUAAUGCCUAGGAAUCUGCCUGGUAGUGGGGGAUAACGUCCGGAAACGGGCGCUAAUACCGCAUACGUCUGAGGGAGAAGGCGGGGGAUUCUCGGGCCUCACGCUAUCAGAUGAGCCUAGGUCGGAUUAGCUAGUUGGUGGGGUAAAGGCCUACCAAGGCGACGAUCCGUAACUGGUCUGAGAGGAUGAUCAGUCACACUGGAACUGAGACACGGUCCAGACUCCUACGGGAGGCAGCAGUGGGGAAUAUUGGACAAUGGGCGAAAGCCUGAUCCAGCCAUGCCGCGUGUGUGAAGAAGGUCUUCGGAUUGUAAAGCACUUUAAGUUGGGAGGAAGGGCAGUAAGUUAAUACCUUGCUGUUUUGACGUUACCAACAGAAUAAGCACCGGCUAACUUCGUG